RNAcentral lists this ribosomal RNA (459 nucleotides) under uncultured bacterium. RNAcentral's name for it is "partial 16S ribosomal RNA". It matches the Rfam family "Bacterial small subunit ribosomal RNA", at positions 338 to 795 of the family's 1533-position model. The record is from RNAcentral.
CCUACGGGAGGCAGCAGUGAGGAAUAUUGGUCAAUGGUCGGGAGACUGAACCAGCCAAGCCGCGUGAGGGAUGAAGGUACAGAGUAUCGUAAACCUCUUUUGUCAGGGAACAAAGGCGGGGACGCGUCCCCGGAUGAGUGUACCUGAAGAAAAAGCAUCGGCUAACUCCGUGCCAGCAGCCGCGGUAAUACGGAGGAUGCGAGCGGUAUCCGGAUUUAUUGGGUUGAAAGGGUGCGCAGGCGGUCUGUUAAGUCAGCGGUAAAAGCACGGGGCUCAACCCCGGCCCGCCGUUGAUACUGGCAGUCUCGAGUUGGAGAGAAGUAUGCGGAAUGCGCGGUGUAGCGGUGAAAUGCAUAGAUAUCGCGCAGAACUCCGAUUGCGAAGGCAGCAUGCCGGCUCCACACUGACGCUGAGGCACGAAAGCGUGGGUAUCGAACAGGAUUAGAUACCCGAGUAGUC